Molecule: transfer RNA, 56 nt
Filed under: Mus musculus (house mouse)
Lineage: Eukaryota; Metazoa; Chordata; Mammalia; Rodentia; Muridae
Source: Rfam by way of RNAcentral
AGGGAUGUAGCUCAGUUGGUAGAGCGCUCAUCUCACAUGCGAGAGGUUCAUUUCUG